This 524-nucleotide ribosomal RNA is filed under the name uncultured bacterium. RNAcentral describes it as "partial 16S ribosomal RNA". It matches the Rfam family "Bacterial small subunit ribosomal RNA", at positions 28 to 523 of the family's 1533-position model. The record is from RNAcentral.
GACGAACGCUGGCGGCGUGCCUAAUACAUGCAAGUCGAGCGCAGGAAAUCGACGGAACCCUUCGGGGGGAAGUCGACGGAAUGAGCGGCGGACGGGUGAGUAACACGUAAAGAACCUGCCCUCAGGUCUGGGAUAACCACGAGAAAUCGGGGCUAAUACCGGAUGGGUCAUCGGACCGCAUGGUCCGAGGAUGAAAGGCGCUUCGGCGUCGCCUGGGGAUGGCUUUGCGGGGCAUUAGCUAGUUGAUGGGGUAAUGGCCCACCAAGGCGACGAUGCAUAGCCGACCUGAGGGGCUGAUCGGCCACACUGGGACUGAGACACGGCCCAGACUCCGACUGGAGGCAGCAGUAGGUAAUCUUCCACAAUGGACGAAAAUCUGAUGGAGCAACGCCGCGUGAACGAUGAAGGCCUUCGGGUCGUAAAGUUCUGUUGUAAGGGAAGAACAAGUGCCGCAGGCAAUGGCGGCACCUUGACGGUACCUUGCGAGAAAGCCACGGCUAACUACGUGCCAGCCGCCGCAGUAA